This 1124-nucleotide long non-coding RNA is filed under the name Anolis carolinensis (green anole). RNAcentral describes it as "lncRNA (ENSACAG00000041849.1)". Lineage: Eukaryota; Metazoa; Chordata; Lepidosauria; Squamata; Anolidae. The record is from RNAcentral.
UUUUCAGAGCCAUUAUCAGAUAUGAAAAGCUUCACACAAAACUCUGCUUAUACUCAAUGUGUUGCUACAUAGUGAUGUUACCUUGCAACCCAGAUGCCUUUUUACUCCUUCAGAGUGACAAAUGGGAUUUCACCACAAUAAUAGCUUUCCUUUGUAAGCUUUAUUAUCUCCAAUAGAUGGUGUUUCGUGAUAUAUUUUUGCCCUCAGUUGUUGCAUUUCCCCUUUGAAGAGACAUGCUUUAUGGUUGCAACCUCAUUAUUUGAACUGGAUGCUCAACUAUAUUGCCAUGAUUACUGGAUGAGUUAAAUUAAUAGAAAUUUAUUUUUCACAGGGAGAAGAGGAAGGAGAGCAAAGAGAGGAUCAGAGAAAAAGAAAAGAUUAGAGAGAAAGACAGAGAUAAGGAAAAAGAGAAGGAUCGGGACAAAGACAGGGGCAGAGAGAGGGACAAAGAGAGGGGCAGAGAAAGGGAGAGAGAAAAGGAGAGAACCAAAGAUAGAGACAAAGAGAGAGUGAAAGAUAAAGAGAAGGAUAGAGAAAGAGACAGAGGCAGAGAAAAGGAAAAAGACCGAGAGAAGGAAAAAGGAAAAGGAAAGGACAAAGAGGAGAAGGAGAAAGAGAAGGAAGAAAAGGGCAAGGCAGAGGAUUUAGACAAAGAAGGGGAAAAGGUUAAAGAGAGAGAAACUGAAAAGGAGGGAGACAAGGAGAAAGAUGACAAUGAACAGGUAAAAGAAAAAGAAGAUGAGGGAAAAGACCAAGAGAGAGAAAAAGAAAGAGAGAAGAGCAGUGAAAAAGAAAGAGAGAAGACUAGAGAAUUAGAAAGAGAGAAGACCACUGAAAAAGAAAGGGAGAAGGCCAGUGAAAGAGAAAGAGCGAAGGACAAGGAAGUAGAGAAGGCAAAAGACAAGGAUAAGGAAAGGGACCGAGAGAAAGAGAGAGAGAGAGAAGAAAAAAGGAAAAAGGAGAAAAGAUCCAGGACACCUCCUAGAAGUUACAGUUCCUCAAGAAGAUCACGUAGUUCCAGCAGAGAUAGACGGAAGAGGAAGAGCCGAAGUCCCUCAAAAUCUCCCAGAUCUUCCAAAAUCACAAAGAGGAAAUCUUCCCGGUCUCCAUCUCCAAGGAGGUAA